RNAcentral lists this ribosomal RNA (484 nucleotides) under uncultured bacterium. Its description in RNAcentral is "partial 16S ribosomal RNA". It matches the Rfam family "Bacterial small subunit ribosomal RNA", at positions 30 to 507 of the family's 1533-position model. The record is from RNAcentral.
AUUGAACGCUGGCGGCAGGCCUAACACAUGCAAGUCGAGCGGAUGAAGGGAGCUUGCUCCUGGAUUCAGCGGCGGACGGGUGAGUAAUGACUAGGAAUCUGCCUGGUAGUGGGGGAUAACGUCAGGACACGGGCGCUAAUACAGCAUACGACCUGAGGGAGAAAGUGGGGGAUCUUUGGACCUCACGCUAUCAGAUGAGCCUAGGUCGGAUUAGCUAGUUGGUUGGGUAAAGGCCUACCAAGGCGACGAUCCGUAACUGGUCUGAGAGGAUGACCAGCCACACUGGAACUGAGACACGGUCCAGACUCCUACGGGAGGCAGCAGUGGGGAAUAUUGGACAAUGGGCGAAAGCCUGAUCCAGCCAUGCCGCGUGUGUGAAGAAGGUCUUCGGAUUGUAAAGCACUGUAAGUUGGGAGGAAGGGCAGUAAGUUAAUACCUUGCUGUUUUGACGUUACCAACAGAAUAAGCACCGGCUAACUUCGUG